Molecule: long non-coding RNA, 587 nt
Organism: Gorilla gorilla gorilla (western lowland gorilla)
Lineage: Eukaryota; Metazoa; Chordata; Mammalia; Primates; Hominidae
Exons: 3
Source: RefSeq, a predicted model, not a curated record
UCCAGGUAGCAUGGCAUGGUACUGGAACACUAUGUCUUCUCUCUGACCUCUCGGAAUAUCUCUGUGAUUCGAUGUGUUGGCCCAUUGGAGGCCCUGGAUAAGAAAACUGAGGCUGAAGAUCACACAACCAGUAAAUGGAACAGCCAGAAAUCAAAUGUUAUAUAUUGGCCCUGAAGUGGGGAUAAAGCAGCUAAAAGAAAGUGUACUUUACAUUAAAUUUUAAGAUUUAUGAGACUGGCAGAAAAAUCACAAAAAGGAAAAAAAGUCAGUUCGAAGUGUGAAAUCAAGUGAAUGAAGUAAGACAGAAGCAAUAAUCUCUACAACAAAAGAUGAGAACUUGCCUCCUCUAAAUCCCAUACACGCAUGGCUAUUUGUUCCCAGCUUAUGUGGAUCAUGGCUAAUUUACAAACAGUGGGUGAUGUGCUAUAAAGAAAAUGACUCAUUGGCCCAUCUGUAAUUUAAAUAUGUGACAAAAUGUUUAAAUGUUUCAAACAAUGGUUAAUUAUUAGAGACUUAACAGUUUGAAAACAAGUGUGGAGCUUUUUUUUUUUUUUUCUUUUUUUUUUUCUGUUUUUUUUGGCUUCAUU